CCUACGUGCGGCAGCAGUGAGGAAUAUUGGUCAAUGGACGAGAGUCUGAACCAGCCACGUAGCGUGAAGGAUGACUGCCCUAUGGGUUGUAAACUUCUUUUAUAUGGGAAUAAAACGUUCCACGUGUGGGAUUUUGUAUGUACCAUAUGAAUAAGGAUCGGCUAACUCCGUGCCAGCAGCCGCGGUAAUACGGAGGAUCCGAGCGUUAUCCGGAUUUAUUGGGUUUAAAGGGAGCGUAGGUGGAUUGUUAAGUCAGUUGUGAAAGUUUGCGGCUCAACCGUAAAAUUGCAGUUGAAACUGGCAGUCGUGAGUACAGUAGAGGUGGGCGGAAUUCGUGGUGUAGCGGUGAAAUGCUGAGAUAUCACGAAGAACUCCGAGUGCGAAGGCAGCUCACUGGACUGCAACUGACACUGAGGCUCGAAAGUGUGGGUAUCAAACAGGAUUAGAUACCCUGGUAGUC
Molecule: ribosomal RNA, 460 nt
Filed under: uncultured bacterium
Lineage: Bacteria
Description: partial 16S ribosomal RNA
Rfam family: Bacterial small subunit ribosomal RNA
Source: RNAcentral